This 345-nucleotide ribosomal RNA is filed under the name uncultured Desulfarculaceae bacterium. RNAcentral's name for it is "bacterial SSU rRNA". It matches the Rfam family "Bacterial small subunit ribosomal RNA", at positions 1034 to 1382 of the family's 1533-position model. Lineage: Bacteria; Pseudomonadati; Thermodesulfobacteriota; Desulfarculia; Desulfarculales; Desulfarculaceae. The record is from RNAcentral.
ACAGGUGCUGCAUGGCUGUCGUCAGCUCGUGUCGUGAGAUGUUGGUUAAGUCCGCACGAGCGCAACCCUCGCCUUUAGUUGUCCAGCAUUCAGUUAGGCACUCUAAAGAUACUGCCUCGGUUAACGGGGAGGAAGGUGGGGACGACGUCAAGUCCUCAUGGCCUUUAUAUCCAGGGCUACACACGUGCUACAAUGGGUCGUACAAAGGGUCGCCACUCCGUGAGGAGGAGCUAAUCCCAAAAAGCGGCUCUCAGUUCGGAUCGGAGUCUGCAACUCGACUCCGUGAAGUUGGAAUCGCUAGUAACCGUGGAUCAGCAUGCCACGGUGAAUACGUUCCCGGGCCUU